UUGGAAUAGAAGGAUGAUUCCACCAGCAUCGGUGUGAGCCCUGAGGCCUUUAAUCAAAUCAGGCUUGGGACAUGGUGGAUAGUUGCUAACUUUGGUGCCAAAAGUAGGACCCUUUGAACCAUAAAAGGCUUUCUUCAGGUAACCUUGCUCCAGUCCUAGAUUUUCACACAGCAAGUCCAAAAGUUGCUCAGCUAAUUUCUCUAGCUUUUCAGCAAACUCCUUCAUGAUUUUCCUGUCAUGUUUCAUGUAAAGUCAGCAAAUCAAAGGUUGAAUUCAGGAUCUAGAGCGUGAGUUUGUUUUGAUUCUACGUAUAAUUUUUUUUAUGCGCAGGUUGCGGUGAAGGGCCGAACCCACUAGAGUCUAUUACAUGCAGGUAGCAUUUCUGCAAGAGGCUACUUCCAUGGAUCGAAAAACAAUAAUUCAGUUGAACUGACAUAAAUCUGCCUCAAGUAGAAGCAAAUCCAAAGGGGAAAACAAAUCCAUUAAAUUAAAUCUUGUGGUCCAACAUAUGCACAGGUUAAAAGUUGGAAGUGAAAAAUCCCAGAUAGUUGGAGCAGAAUUAGAGAUCCUUUGACCU
RNAcentral lists this long non-coding RNA (577 nucleotides) under Nicotiana benthamiana. RNAcentral's name for it is "long non-coding RNA (NBEN_LNC015818)". The record is from RNAcentral. Lineage: Eukaryota; Viridiplantae; Streptophyta; Magnoliopsida; Solanales; Solanaceae.